UACGAAGGGGGCUAGCGUUGCUCGGAAUCACUGGGCGUAAAGCGCACGUAGGCGGCUUUUUAAGUCAGGGGUGAAAUCCUGGAGCUCAACUCCAGAACUGCCUUUGAUACUGAGAAGCUUGAGUCCGGGAGAGGUGAGUGGAACUGCGAGUGUAGAGGUGAAAUUCGUAGAUAUUCGCAAGAACACCAGUGGCGAAGGCGACUCGCUGGUCUUUUGCUGACGCUGAGACGCGAAAGCGUGGGGAGCAAACAGG
This 253-nucleotide ribosomal RNA is filed under the name uncultured bacterium. Its description in RNAcentral is "partial 16S ribosomal RNA". It matches the Rfam family "Bacterial small subunit ribosomal RNA", at positions 524 to 776 of the family's 1533-position model. The record is from RNAcentral.